AGAGUUUGAUCCUGGCUCAGGAUGAACGCUAGCGGGAGGCCUAACACAUGCAAGCCGAGCGGUAUUUGUUCUUCGGAACAGAGAGAGCGGCGUACGGGUGCGGAACACGUGUGCAACCUGCCUUUAUCAGGGGGAUAGCCUUUCGAAAGGAAGAUUAAUACCCCAUAAUAUAAUGAGUGGCAUCACUUAUUAUUGAAAACUCCGGUGGAUAAAGAUGGGCACGCGCAAGAUUAGAUAGUUGGUGAGGUAACGGCUCACCAAGUCAGUGAUCUUUAGGGGGCCUGAGAGGGUGAUCCCCCACACUGGUACUGAGACACGGACCAGACUCCUACGGGAGGCAGCAGUGAGGAAUAUUGGACAAUGGGUUAGCGCCUGAUCCAGCCAUCCCGCGUGAAGGACGACGGCCCUAUGGGUUGUAAACUUCUUUUGUAUAGGGAUAAACCUUUCCACGUGUGGAAAGCUGAAGGUACUAUACGAAUAAGCACCGGCUAACUCCGUGCCAGCAGCCGCGGUAAUACGGAGGGUGCAAGCGUUAUCCGGAUUUAUUGGGUUUAAAGGGUCCGUAGGCGGAUCUGUAAGUCAGUGGUGAAAUCUCACAGCUUAACUGUGAAACUGCCAUUGAUACUGCAGGUCUUGAGUAAGGUAGAAGUAGCUGGAAUAAGUAGUGUAGCGGUGAAAUGCAUAGAUAUUACUUAGAACACCAAUUGCGAAGGCAGGUUACUAUGUCUUAACUGACGCUGAUGGACGAAAGCGUGGGGAGCGAACAGGAUUAGAUACCCUGGUAGUCCACGCCGUAAACGAUGCUAACUCGUUUUUGGGUUUUCGGAUUCAGAGACUAAGCGAAAGUGAUAAGUUAGCCACCUGGGGAGUACGUUCGCAAGAAUGAAACUCAAAGGAAUUGACGGGGGCCCGCACAAGCGGUGGAUUAUGUGGUUUAAUUCGAUGAUACGCGAGGAACCUUACCAAGGCUUAAAUGGGAAUUGAUCGGUUUAGAAAUAGACCUUCCUUCGGGCAAUUUUCAAGGUGCUGCAUGGUUGUCGUCAGCUCGUGCCGUGAGGUGUUAGGUUAAGUCCUGCAACGAGCGCAACCCCUGUCACUAGUUGCCAUCAUUAAGUUGGGGACUCUAGUGAGACUGCCUACGCAAGUAGAGAGGAAGGUGGGGAUGACGUCAAAUCAUCACGGCCCUUACGCCUUGGGCCACACACGUAAUACAAUGGCCGGUACAGAGGGCAGCUACACAGCGAUGUGAUGCAAAUCUCGAAAGCCGGUCUCAGUUCGGAUUGGAGUCUGCAACUCGACUCUAUGAAGCUGGAAUCGCUAGUAAUCGCGCAUCAGCCAUGGCGCGGUGAAUACGUUCCCGGGCCUUGUACACACCGCCCGUCAAGCCAUGGAAGUCUGGGGUACCUGAAGUCGGUGACCGUAAAAGGAGCUGCCUAGGGU
Molecule: ribosomal RNA, 1440 nt
Filed under: uncultured Chryseobacterium sp.
Lineage: Bacteria; Pseudomonadati; Bacteroidota; Flavobacteriia; Flavobacteriales; Weeksellaceae
Description: bacterial SSU rRNA
Rfam family: Bacterial small subunit ribosomal RNA
Source: RNAcentral